RNAcentral lists this ribosomal RNA (137 nucleotides) under uncultured eukaryote. RNAcentral describes it as "partial 18S ribosomal RNA". It matches the Rfam family "Eukaryotic small subunit ribosomal RNA", at positions 1299 to 1458 of the family's 1831-position model. The record is from RNAcentral.
UGGUGGGGUGACUUGUCUGCUUAAUUGCGAUAACGAACGAGACCUUAACCUGCUAAAUAGCCCGCAUUGCACCGGCAGUGCGCUGGCUUCUUAGAGGGACUUUCGGCUCAAGCCGAAGGAAGUUUGAGGCAAUAACA